This 691-nucleotide long non-coding RNA is filed under the name Gallus gallus (chicken). The record is from RNAcentral. Lineage: Eukaryota; Metazoa; Chordata; Aves; Galliformes; Phasianidae.
GCCCCAAUGGUGACUCAGUGGUGCCCCAAUGGUGCCUCCGGGGUGGCUCAGUGGUGCCCCACUUGUGAGUCAGUAGUGCCCCACUUGUAAGUCAGUGAUGCCCCAGGGGUGGCUCAGUGGUGCCCCAGUAGUGACACAGUGGUGCCCCACUUGUAAGUCAGUGGUGCUGCAGUGGUGACUCAGUGGUGCCCCAAUGGUGACUCAGUGGUGCCCCAGUAGUGACUCAGUGGAGCCCCAAUGGUGACUCAGUGGAGCCCCAAUGGUGACACAGUGGUGCCCCAGUAGUGACGCAGUGGUGCCCCAAUGGUGCUGCAGUGGUGACUCAGUGGUGCCCCAGUAGUGACGCAGUGGUGCCCCAAUGGUGACUCAGUGGUGUCUCAGUGGAGCCCCAAUGGUGACUCCGUGGUGCCCCAAUGGUGACUCAGUAGUGCCCCGAUGGUGCCCCGAUGGUGCCUCAGUGGUGACUCAGUGGAGCCCCAAUGGUGACACAGUGGUGCCCCAGUAGUGACGCAGUGGUGCCCCAAUGGUGACUCAGUGGUGCCCCAAUGGUGAGUCAGUAGUGCCCCACUUGUAAGUCAGUGAUGCCCCAGGGGUGGCUCAGUGGUGCCCCAGUAGUGACACAGUGGUGCCCCACUUGUAAGUCAGUGGUGCCCCAAUGGUGACUCAGUGGUGCCCCAAUGGUGACUCAGUG